This is a long non-coding RNA of Daphnia pulex (common water flea), 1109 nucleotides long. RefSeq lists it as uncharacterized. NCBI's taxonomy places the organism in Eukaryota, Metazoa, Arthropoda, Branchiopoda, Diplostraca, Daphniidae. The transcript is spliced from 5 exons. The record is from RefSeq and is a predicted model, not a curated record.
GUGAAUAAAUGGGGCAGCGUCGACUGCUGGCUCUCCCAUUGAGUUGGCCAUCUCCUUAUCUCUGGUUCGGUGUAAAAUCGCUAGGUUUUUGAGCUUUCAGAGAUGUUUGGUGUGUAUUCCAACACCAGUCCGUCAGGGUCUGUUCGAGUUCUGUUGGCAAGUUCGUCUGCGACUUCAUUUCCAUGUAUGCCAGCAUGACUAGGAAUCCAUACGAAGUGUGCUGGAUUCCCAUUUGAAGUUGGAUAUGGCCUGUAUUGCUGAUUUGGAGUCUGUGAGAAUAGUGAUAUCUGGCCAGUCGAGUGGUUUAGGUAUGUAAAAGGCACAGGAGGAAAUGUUUGUGAGUUCGCAGCACGAACCAUCUGUGUAAAUGGUUAGGUUAUCUGUGGGUUCAUUUUCCAUCAGCUUUCUAAAUAUUUCUUGGGUUCCAAGGGGCUAUAGGCUCUAUCCAGGGAUUGUAGCUCGGCAUUAGGGAGAAACAUUCUUCGGAGUUGAUACGCAUCUUAUUUAAAUGGGGGAUUACUGCCGGUAUGCUUCUGGGUUUCCAGGUUUUAAUGUUGUUCAGUGUAUUUUGGAUUGUGGAGUAGGCUGGGUUCCAUGGCUUGGUGUUGAGUUUGUUUAGGUAUCUUGAUGCUAAGAGAUCCCACCUAUCUUUGAUUGAGGUUAGUCCUGUUUCAAGGUAGAUAAGGGAGGUGGGUAAUAUUUAAUUAUAGAACGUCUAUUGUUUUAUUGAUUCCGAUAAUUUUGUCAUUAAAAAUAUUCAGAUUUUUAAAAAUAUUUCAAUUUAGCAUGAAUACUGUCGUCGGGGGUUAUUUUGAACAUGCAAUGUGGGGUAAAAUUACACUGCAAGGGGGAUACGGAGAAAAAGCACAUUGGGGAAAACACUCCCUUUUUAACGGCGUCGCCCCAAAUUGUCCAACUGGGUUCAACCCUUAUUUUUAUUUUGAAAUUUAAGCAACUAAUUGCUUGAAUUUAAAAUAGGUUUUUAGACAAAAGAUAAAAAAAACAUUACAAGAUUCCUUCAGUAAUAUCCUUCGGUAAUUUUUUUAAACGUUAAAGAGACAGAAAAUAAAGGUUAUGGUAGAUUAAUACAUACUAUAACGUUUGGAAAA